This is a non-coding RNA of Daphnia pulex (common water flea), 73 nucleotides long. Lineage: Eukaryota; Metazoa; Arthropoda; Branchiopoda; Diplostraca; Daphniidae. The record is from Rfam.
GCCGAAAUAGCUCAGUUGGGAGAGCGUUAGACUGAAGAUCUAAAGGUCCUUGGUUCGAUAUCGGGUUUCGGCA